This 1078-nucleotide long non-coding RNA is filed under the name Calidris pugnax (ruff). RNAcentral describes it as "lncRNA (ENSCPUG00000004286.1)". Lineage: Eukaryota; Metazoa; Chordata; Aves; Charadriiformes; Scolopacidae. The record is from RNAcentral.
GUUUUGUUGUUGUUUGCCCUGCCUUUGCUAGGCCUACGAGAAGAUCUGAUUUACUGCCUUACUCUUACCCAACCGUGGGACACUCUUGUGGCUUUAACUGUUUGACAUAUCCUUAAGAAUGGUUUUCAUUUGAUUUUUAAAGCGUAAUUGAUCAAAUGAAGGGAAGUUUACUGGCCCAUAUGCUUGACCCUUAUUUAAUGACUAGGAGCUUUUCCUGCUCUGUAACCCAUUUGUUCUUGCUGAGCUUUCUAGCUGCCUUUUCAUACUUUUAAAGUGGUUUUUGGAUGAUGUAACGCGGACUGUCCCAUUUGAUAGUGUGGAUUUAACACCGUUUACCUCAGUCCGGCUCCGACAGUUUUACCAGCUGAGGAUUUGACCCUGAUCUCUGCUGCUUUAAUUUCACACAGGCUCCUUUCCAGCAUCUCUGGUCAAGGUUAAAUGAGCAUUUCACGGCAGUCGGAGAAAAACACCGUUGGUUCAUUCUCUAGUCUACAUGCGAGCCUUGAUUUUAUUCCUGUCUGUUCAGAGAUGUCUGUGUCAAGUGCCAAGCAGCUAUCUAAACACUGAAUAUCUCCUUGUAAUAGAAUUACACAGUUCCCUUAAAACCGUGUUUGAAUUCCAAGUUUUAAGGUAGCAACAUGAAUCGGCUGUACCAGAGUGUCUGUGGUGGUAAAUGAAAGAUGAAGGUGACACACAUAUGUGACGUAGCUCCUGAGGUUAUUUUGCUACUUAUAUGUGUCGUAGCCUCUUUGUCACAUGGUUUUUAUCCUUUUCUAGUGUGAAAGUGCUGUGUGUGUACCAGCAGCAGGGCCAUCAUGUGAAGAAAUGUCAUUACGUACGUGUGAGGAGUCCUCUCUGUGAGGAAAGAUGCUCUUUUCUACAUUGCCAAAUUCCGUCUCAGACUGAUGCAGAGCGGUUUCAGAAGGUUGUGUUCAUACCUCUGCACGGGCACCUGGCCCUUGAAGAGGGAAGCUCUGGUGUGCAGCCCCCAGCUUUGCCCCAUUCCGGGUCUCAAGACAGGAGGCAGGAUCUCAGCUCUGCCAGAGGUGAAGAGGAGAUCAUCAGGAGGAAUAUUCUG